UGGCUAUUUCCUGUGCUGCUG
RNAcentral lists this unclassified non-coding RNA (21 nucleotides) under Mus musculus (house mouse). Its description in RNAcentral is "oocyte_clustered_small_RNA2". The record is from RNAcentral. Lineage: Eukaryota; Metazoa; Chordata; Mammalia; Rodentia; Muridae.